This 278-nucleotide ribosomal RNA is filed under the name uncultured bacterium. RNAcentral describes it as "partial 16S ribosomal RNA". It matches the Rfam family "Bacterial small subunit ribosomal RNA", at positions 506 to 784 of the family's 1533-position model. The record is from RNAcentral.
UGCCAGCCGCCGCGGUAAUACGGAAGGGGCAAGCGUUGUUCGGAAUUAUUGGGCGUAAAGGGCGUGCAGGCGGUCUCAUAUGUCUGCUGUGAAAUCACACGGCUCAACCGUGUUAAGCCGCAGAAACUGUGGGACUUGAGGCUGGGAGGGGCUGGUGGAAUUCCCUGUGUAGCGGUGAAAUGCGUAGAGAUGGGGGAGAACACUCGUGGCGAAGGCGGCCAGCUGGACCAGUUCUGACGCUGAGACGCGAAAGCGUGGGGAGCAAACAGGAUUAGAUA